This 735-nucleotide ribosomal RNA is filed under the name uncultured Cyanobium sp. RNAcentral describes it as "bacterial SSU rRNA". It matches the Rfam family "Bacterial small subunit ribosomal RNA", at positions 781 to 1515 of the family's 1533-position model. The record is from RNAcentral. Lineage: Bacteria; Bacillati; Cyanobacteriota; Cyanophyceae; Synechococcales; Prochlorococcaceae.
GAUACCCCUGUAGUCCUGGCCGUAAACGAUGAACACUAGGUGUCGGGGGAAUCGACCCCCUCGGUGUCGUAGCCAACGCGUUAAGUGUUCCGCCUGGGGAGUACGCACGCAAGUGUGAAACUCAAAGGAAUUGACGGGGGCCCGCACAAGCGGUGGAGUAUGUGGUUUAAUUCGAUGCAACGCGAAGAACCUUACCAGGGUUUGACAUCCUGCGAAUCCCUUGGAAACGAGGGAGUGCCUUCGGGAACGCAGUGACAGGUGGUGCAUGGCUGUCGUCAGCUCGUGUCGUGAGAUGUUGGGUUAAGUCCCGCAACGAGCGCAACCCACGUCUUUAGUUGCCAGCAUUUAGUUGGGCACUCUAGAGAGACUGCCGGUGAUAAACCGGAGGAAGGUGUGGAUGACGUCAAGUCAUCAUGCCCCUUACAUCCUGGGCUACACACGUACUACAAUGCUACGGACAAAGGGCAGCAAACUCGCGAGAGCUAGCAAAUCCCAUAAACCGUGGCUCAGUUCAGAUCGUAGGCUGCAACUCGCCUACGUGAAGGAGGAAUCGCUAGUAAUCGCAGGUCAGCAUACUGCGGUGAAUACGUUCCCGGGCCUUGUACACACCGCCCGUCACACCAUGGAAGUUGGCCACGCCCGAAGUCGUUACUCCAACCCUUGUGGAGGAGGAUGCCGAAGGUGGGGCUGAUGACUGGGGUGAAGUCGUAACAAGGUAGCCGUACCGGAAGGUGC